Molecule: ribosomal RNA, 345 nt
Filed under: Triticum aestivum (bread wheat)
Lineage: Eukaryota; Viridiplantae; Streptophyta; Magnoliopsida; Poales; Poaceae
Description: partial small subunit ribosomal RNA
Source: RNAcentral
AUGAGAAGAUUGAUCUGUAUGUUCACCUCCCCCAACUUGCUUGGGACAAAAGGCUUUGUUGUUGUUGUCAUUUUUGUUCUUGUUGUUGUUGUUGUUGUCGUCAUCGUCGUGGUUGUCGUCGUUGUCGUUGUUGUUGUCGUCGUGGUUGUUGUUGUUCACCUUUUCCGUUUAUCAACUCAUGUGAAAGGUCGAGGCACUGGCGAUGUUGAAGUAGUUCAAUUCUCGCGCCUAUGUGUAGGUGUCCUCUGCUCCAGUUAUGUUCAACUGUCCUGUUCGCCCAGCGCAACUUGCCUGGGACAAAAUGUUUUGUUGUUGUUCAACUCUCCUGUUUAUCAACUUAUGUGA